UAGUCCACGCCCUAAACGAUGGUCACUAACUGUUCGAAUUUCGGUUUGAGUGGUUAAGCGAAAGUGAUAAGUGACCCACCUGGGGAGUACGUUCGCAAGAAUGAAACUCAAAGGAAUUGACGGGGGCCCGCACAAGCGGUGGAGCAUGUGGUUUAAUUCGAUGGUACGCGAGGAACCUUACCAGGGCUUAAAUGUAAGUUGCAUUAGUUAGAGAUAGCUAUUUCUUCGGACUACUUACAAGGUGCUGCAUGGUUGUCGUCAGCUCGUGCCGUGAGGUGUCAGGUUAAGUCCUAUAACGAGCGCAGCCCCUGUUGUUAGUUGCCAGCGAUUAAAGUCGGGAACUCUAACAAGACUGCCAGUGCAAACUGUGAGGAAGGUGGGGAUGACGUCAAAUCAUCACGGCCCUUACGUCCUGGGCUACACACGUGCUACAAUGGUAGGGACAGAGAGCAGCCACACCGCGAGGUGGAGCGAAUCUAUAAACCCUAUCUCAGUUCGGAUCGGAGUCUGC
RNAcentral lists this ribosomal RNA (511 nucleotides) under uncultured bacterium. RNAcentral's name for it is "bacterial SSU rRNA". It matches the Rfam family "Bacterial small subunit ribosomal RNA", at positions 791 to 1308 of the family's 1533-position model. The record is from RNAcentral.